Molecule: ribosomal RNA, 492 nt
Filed under: uncultured bacterium
Lineage: Bacteria
Description: partial 16S ribosomal RNA
Rfam family: Bacterial small subunit ribosomal RNA
Source: RNAcentral
AGUGAACGCUGGCGGUAGGCCUAACACAUGCAAGUCGAACGGCAGCACAGUAAGGGCUUGCUCUUACGGGUGGCGAGUGGCGGACGGGUGAGGAAUACAUCGGAAUCUACUUUUUCGUGGGGGAUAACGUAGGGAAACUUACGCUAAUACCGCAUACGACCUACGGGUGAAAGCAGGGGAUCUUCGGACCUUGCGCGAUUGAAUGAGCCGAUGUCGGAUCAGCUAGUUGGCGGGGUAAAGGCCCACCAAGGCGACGAUCCGUAGCUGGUCUGAGAGGAUGAUCAGCCACACUGGAACUGAGACACGGUCCAGACUCCUACGGGAGGCAGCAGUGGGGAAUAUUGGACAAUGGGCGCAAGCCUGAUCCAGCCAUACCGCGUGGGUGAAGAAGGCCUUCGGGUUGUAAAGCCCUUUUGUUGGGAAAGAAAAGCAGCAGGUUAAUACCCCGCUGUUCUGACGGUACCCAAAGAAUAAGCACCGGCUAACUUCGUG